RNAcentral lists this ribosomal RNA (489 nucleotides) under uncultured bacterium. RNAcentral describes it as "partial 16S ribosomal RNA". It matches the Rfam family "Bacterial small subunit ribosomal RNA", at positions 28 to 507 of the family's 1533-position model. The record is from RNAcentral.
GACGAACGCUGGCGGCGUGCUUAACACAUGCAAGUCGAACGGAAAGGCCCCCACCUUGGUGGGGGUGCUCGAGUGGCGAACGGGUGAGUAACACGUGGGGGAUCUCCCCUGUAUUUGGGGAUAGGUUGGGGAAACGGGUUCUAAUACCGGAUAGGACCAUGGUUUGGUUUCUCAUGGGGGAAAAUUUAUUUUUUUGGUGAGGUAUGAGCUCGCGGCCUAUCAGCUUGUUGGUGGGGUAAUGGCCUACCAGGGCGUCGACGGGUAGCCGGCCUGAGAGGGUGGACGGCCACAUUGGGACUGAGAUACGGCCCAGACUCCUACGGGAGGCAGCAGUGGGGAAUAUUGCACAAUGGGCGCAAGCCUGAGGCAGCGACGCCGCGUGGGGGAUGACGGCCUUCGGGUUGUAAACUCCUUUCGUUAGGGACGAAGCCACACCUUUUUUGGGUGUGGUGACGGUACCUUUGUUAAGAAGCACCGGCUAACUACGUG